UACGAAGGGGGCUAGCGUUGCUCGGAAUCACUGGGCGUAAAGCGCACGUAGGCGGAUUGUUAAGUCAGGGGUGAAAUCCUGGAGCUCAACUCCAGAACUGCCUUUGAUACUGGCGAUCUAGAGAUCGAGAGAGGUGAGUGGAAUUCCGAGUGUAGAGGUGAAAUUCGUAGAUAUUCGGAAGAACACCAGUGGCGAAGGCGGCUCACUGGCUCGAUACUGACGCUGAGGUGCGAAAGCGUGGGGAGCAAACAGG
This 253-nucleotide ribosomal RNA is filed under the name uncultured bacterium. Its description in RNAcentral is "partial 16S ribosomal RNA". It matches the Rfam family "Bacterial small subunit ribosomal RNA", at positions 524 to 776 of the family's 1533-position model. The record is from RNAcentral.